CACGUGAGUGACCUGCCCUCCACUCUGGGAUAAGCCUUGGAAACGAGGUCUAAUACUGGAUAGGACCAAAGCCUGCAUGGGUUUUGGUGGAAAGUUUUUCGGUGGGGGAUGGACUCGCGGCCUAUCAGCUUGUUGGUGAGGUAGUGGCUCACCAAGGCGACGACGGGUAGCCGGCCUGAGAGGGUGACCGGCCACACUGGGACUGAGACACGGCCCAGACUCCUACGGGAGGCAGCAGUGGGGAAUAUUGCACAAUGGGCGAAAGCCUGAUGCAGCGACGCCGCGUGAGGGAUGAAGGCCUUCGGGUUGUAAACCUCUUUCGCCAGGGAAGAAGCGAGAGUGACGGUACCUGGAGAAGAAGCACCGGCUAACUACGUG
RNAcentral lists this ribosomal RNA (378 nucleotides) under uncultured Actinobacteridae bacterium. RNAcentral's name for it is "bacterial SSU rRNA". It matches the Rfam family "Bacterial small subunit ribosomal RNA", at positions 114 to 507 of the family's 1533-position model. The record is from RNAcentral. Lineage: Bacteria; Bacillati; Actinomycetota; Actinomycetes.